RNAcentral lists this transfer RNA (86 nucleotides) under Clostridia bacterium. RNAcentral's name for it is "tRNA-Tyr". It matches the Rfam family "tRNA". From Rfam's summary of the family: Transfer RNA (tRNA) molecules are approximately 80 nucleotides in length. Their secondary structure includes four short double-helical elements and three loops (D, anti-codon, and T loops). Lineage: Bacteria; Bacillati; Bacillota; Clostridia. The record is from RNAcentral.
GGAGGGGUUCCCGAGUUGGCCAAAGAGGGCAGACUGUAAAUCUGCUGGCACUGCCUUCGAAGGUUCGAAUCCUUCCCCCUCCACCA